GCUGGCGGCGUGCUUAACACAUGCAAGUCGAACGAAAAUACCAAGCUUGCUUGGUUGAUUAGUGGCGAACGGGUGAGUAACACGUGAGUAACCUGCCCCUUACUUUCCUGGAUAACUGCUCGAAAGGGUAGCUAAUACGGGAUAUUCUGACCAUCCUGCAUGGGUUGGUUUGGAAAGGUUGUUUUUUCUGGUAAGGGAUGGGCUCGCGGCCUAUCAGCUUGUUGGUGGGGUGAUGGCCUACCAAGGCUUUGACGGGUAGCCGGCCUGAGAGGGUGGACGGUCACACUGGGACUGAGAUACGGCCCAGACUCCUACGGGAGGCAGCAGUGGGGAAUAUUGCACAAUGGGCGCAAGCCUGAUGCAGCGACGCCGCGUGAGGGAUGAAGGCCUUCGGGUUGUAAACCUCUUUCGUCAGGGAACAAGGCACUGCUUUGGUGGUGUUGAGGGUACCUGGAUAAGAAGCGCCGGCUAACUACGUGCCAGCAGCCGCGGUAAUACGUAGGGCGCAAGCGUUGUCCGGAAUUAUUGGGCGUAAAGAGCUCGUGGGCGGCUGGUCGCGUCUGUCGUGAAAACUUCCGGCUCAACCGGGGGCUUGCGGUGGGUACGGGCCGGCUAGAGUGCGGUAGGGGUAACUGGAACUCCUGGUGUAGUGGUGGAAUGCGCAGAUAUCAGGAAGAACACCGAUGGCGAAGGCAGGUUACUGGGCCGUUACUGACGCUGAGGAGCGAAAGCGUGGGGAGCGAACAGGAUUAGAUACCCUGGUAGUCCACGCUGUAAACGUUGGGCACUAGGUGUGAGGCUCCUUUC
RNAcentral lists this ribosomal RNA (807 nucleotides) under uncultured Actinomyces sp. RNAcentral describes it as "bacterial SSU rRNA". It matches the Rfam family "Bacterial small subunit ribosomal RNA", at positions 35 to 835 of the family's 1533-position model. Lineage: Bacteria; Bacillati; Actinomycetota; Actinomycetes; Actinomycetales; Actinomycetaceae. The record is from RNAcentral.